UGCGGUGGGUACGGGCAGACUAGAGUGAUGUAGGGGAGACUGGAAUUCCUGGUGUAGCGGUGAAAUGCGCAGAUAUCAGGAGGAACACCGAUGGCGAAGGCAGGUCUCUGGGCAUUUACUGACGCUGAGGAGCGAAAGCAUGGGGAGCGAACAGGAUUAGAUACCCUGGUAGUCCAUGCCGUAAACGUUGGGCACUAGGUGUGGGGGACAUUCCACGUUUUCCGCGCCGUAGCUAACGCAUUAAGUGCCCCGCCUGGGGAGUACGGCCGCAAGGCUAAAACUCAAAGGAAUUGACGGGGGCCCGCACAAGCGGCGGAGCAUGCGGA
This 326-nucleotide ribosomal RNA is filed under the name Glutamicibacter sp. Its description in RNAcentral is "bacterial SSU rRNA". It matches the Rfam family "Bacterial small subunit ribosomal RNA", at positions 622 to 945 of the family's 1533-position model. The record is from RNAcentral. Lineage: Bacteria; Bacillati; Actinomycetota; Actinomycetes; Micrococcales; Micrococcaceae.